CAAUAGUGUAUAUUAACAUUGUUGCAGUUAAAAAGCUCGUAGUUGGAAAUAUUUUUAUUUUUACUUUAUUUUUUUGCCACAAUUGGUUUCUUUUAACUGGUGUGGGGGAAAGGUAGUUUAGAAAUAGAAACACAGAGUUUUCGAUCUUUGAUUUCCACGGCCAUCCGCAUGGGCGUGGAGAGUUUGAGAAGAUGAAGAAGACAGGUUACUUUGAGUAAAAUGGAGUGCUUCAAGCAGGUUUUUAGGACCAUUGAACAGUUUAGCAUGGGACAACGGAAUAAGACUGACCCGAGCGCUCAUCCGCGCGUCAUACAAGAUCGGGACAGUAAUGAUAGACAGGGACAGCUGGGGGCAUUCGUAUUUAGCAGCUAGAGGUGAAAUUCAGAGAUUUGCUAAAGACCAACAUAAGCGAAAGCAUUUGCCAAGUGUGUUUUCGUUAA
RNAcentral lists this ribosomal RNA (440 nucleotides) under uncultured eukaryote. RNAcentral's name for it is "partial 18S ribosomal RNA". It matches the Rfam family "Eukaryotic small subunit ribosomal RNA", at positions 592 to 976 of the family's 1831-position model. The record is from RNAcentral.